Molecule: ribosomal RNA, 253 nt
Filed under: uncultured bacterium
Lineage: Bacteria
Description: partial 16S ribosomal RNA
Rfam family: Bacterial small subunit ribosomal RNA
Source: RNAcentral
UACGAAGGGUGCAAGCGUUACUCGGAAUUACUGGGCGUAAAGCGUGCGUAGGUGGUUUGUUAAGUCUGUUGUGAAAGCCCCGGGCUCAACCUGGGAAUGGCAAUGGAUACUGGCAGGCUAGAGUGCGGUAGAGGGUAGUGGAAUUCCCGGUGUAGCGGUGAAAUGCGUAGAGAUCGGGAGGAACACCAGUGGCGAAGGCGGCUACCUGGACCAGCACUGACACUGAGGCACGAAAGCGUGGGUAGCAAACAGG